ACCAUGCGUACGUAGCUGCAAGAACGAUGACGGUUAAUUUCUAUCUAAAGCAUUCUUGAAGAAAAUAACCAAGGGUUUUUGCAACUCGCAAUAAAACUACUAGUUUCCCUUUCACCACUGCCAAACACACUGGCUCACAUGACCAUCGCACCACAAUUGUCUUGAAAAUGGAAAAACGUUACAAACCAAUUCUAAUAGCACUAAACAUGUAAUAUUUACACGCAAUAGAAAGAUUAAGGUUGCUAAAGAAACACCAAACAAAAACUAGACGACUGGUUGAGAGAAGACAGCCAAUUGUGAACGAUUGUGAAUGGAAUGCCAGUUGUCUUCCAAUUAUUUCCUUCGUCAGCCAAGCAAUUUUCUUCUUUUUUUGUCGGGUGUUUAUUUUCAGUCACCUUUGCCUGGUCGGCAAUUUCGCCUAAGUACCCAAAUGUAGUUUUGUGUAGGUUUCCCAUUUUUCCCUCUAAAUUUGGUUGCGCCCUAGCCAUUUUGAGAAUAGCUUCAUUUUCAUUUUCUUUAGUUUUUUUCUUCUUCUAAAGUGAGCUCUUCUUCGCACAUUUUACCUUUUUCACUCAGCUCAUCUUCUUCAUUUUUGUCCCUGGCGCACUGUCAAUUUGAGAUUGCUUUCUAGCCUCUAUAUUUCUUUGUGGAUAAUCGUUGAAAAGUUUUUUCAUGUGGUUUUCCUCUGUUUUUGCAGCAUUUAUUCUAUUCUCAGUAAAGCCAGCCACAGUUUGAUUCUUUCGCAUAUUUUUCUGAUUUUGUUGAAAAAGAAUUUGUUCAUAAUCUGGUGGUGUAUUCAUAUAAUCAAAAAAGUUCUCAACAUUCUUUAUCCAAUCGAGGAAAGUUUCUAAGUCUGAAUUGCCACUUAAUGAAGGUAUGUGGACUUUAUCUUCUUGUCUUUCUUCUUGGACUUGCUCAUAAUAUUUACGAAAAUAUCGCCUUCCUGCUCGAAUUGGUCUAUCGCUUUCUCUUUCAAAUGAAAAACUUCUUUCUGUCACUAUUUGGGCAGGUAUUUUUCGUUCAUCUCUUAUGUUUUCCUCUCCUCGUUGAGGAAGGUUCAUCAUGUCUUGAUAUUUUUGUCACCGUUGUAUUUAAUUUGUCCAUCCUUGUUAUGCUGCUCCAAACUGCAUUAGAAUCUUCACCGGAAUCGCUAGAAUCACUAUAGUCAAAUUUAAGUGUGGAUAAUAAUGGGUUCUUUGAGAAAAUCGAGCAUGGGUGUAAUUAUUAUGUUGAAAUCCUUCUAAAUCACUUGAGUCAGAAUUCCAAUGCUGCUUUCGGGAGGAAAUUUGACUUUCUUGCCUAUACGAAAUGCUACAUUUUUUCUUCGUUGUCUUCCUUGAUCGAUAAUAGUCCAUUCUUCCAAAAUUUUGAUAUAUCUUUGUUUUUUUCUUAUAGAAUUUUAAGGGUUCCCCCUAUUAGAUGUGUGUUGUUCAGCAACGAGCACAACUCACAAAGCUCCCUCUUGUGAUCGGUGUCAUAAAGUGUUUCCCGAUCUUCCACUGGUAGCAAUCAACGUUGGCCCAAACAGCUGCUUUCAUACCAAUUUGAUGUAACUCAAAUAAGAGAAUUAUAUUAAUAUUUAAAAGUUGUGAAUACAAGAAUACAAGUACUCUAUUUAUGGCAAA
This is a long non-coding RNA of Cucumis sativus (cucumber), 1625 nucleotides long. RefSeq lists it as uncharacterized. The transcript has 2 exons. NCBI's taxonomy places the organism in Eukaryota, Viridiplantae, Streptophyta, Magnoliopsida, Cucurbitales, Cucurbitaceae. The record is from RefSeq and is a predicted model, not a curated record.